AUCCAGCUGACGAGUCACAAAUGGGACGAAAUGGCACGCGUCCUGGAU
Schistosoma mansoni is the source of this 48-nucleotide non-coding RNA. NCBI's taxonomy places the organism in Eukaryota, Metazoa, Platyhelminthes, Trematoda, Strigeidida, Schistosomatidae. The record is from Rfam.